Long non-coding RNA from Drosophila pseudoobscura, 976 nucleotides. RefSeq lists it as uncharacterized. The transcript has 3 exons. The record is from RefSeq and is a predicted model, not a curated record. Lineage: Eukaryota; Metazoa; Arthropoda; Insecta; Diptera; Drosophilidae.
GUUGUCGAGAAAAAUUAGCUUAUAUAUACUUAGUUUUAAGCAAGGGCACAGAUACACUACAUAAAGAAAAAAGAAAGAAGAAAAAUGGUCACUAUAUGAAAAGACAAGAAAGUCACAUUAGUUUGAGCAGUCGAAAAAAGAGCGGGGAGAAAAGACGAAGCGAAAUAAAACGCAACCAACGCCUAAGUACCUAUGAAGAUAAGCGAUUGUGUUUUAUCCGAAAUUCUCACGUUCCUGGACUCAACAUCUUUUAUUUCGCUUCUUGGAAGCCAAUGACGCUAGAGCUCUUGGAGUUUGUAUGAAGACGGGCAGAGACUCGUGGUGCAAGCACUGAAGUAUACUGGACAUUGGAGAGGCGACGGAACCCACAAGGAGACGGUCAUCUCGCUCGUGGGUGGAUAAUAAACAUUGCAGAACACGGAGGCCAACGUGGGUGCGCACGUCUGGCAGCUGAAAAAAGCGCACAUUUUUAUGUAUGUAUGCGAGAUCGUGCACAUACUGCCAUCUCGCUCUAACCAACGAAGUUCUUGCGGGCCAGUAACUAGAGGCUUGAGUGCGCAGUUGGCUAAUGAAAUCGAGUGAAAAUUUCUGGAUUGUGGUUUGUUUGCCAGACACCACAUCCACAAGAGGAGAAGUACCAGCCAACUCGAAAGGAUUGGCGCAUCGCUCAGCAGAUCUCACACUCAUUUUGGAACAAGUGGCUCAAUGAGUACCUACCAGACCUAUCCAGACGGACAAAGUGGCAUCACCCAGUGCCACAACUCGCUGAAAUGGACAUUGCUCUUAUCUGUGAUAAGAAUCUUCAUCGAUCUCAAUGGAAAAAGGGAGUUAUUCUAGCAGUCACGCCUGGACGCGACGGACAGGUUCGCUCAGCCACUGUAAAGACGACGGCUGGAGUUCUACACCGCCCAACCUGUAUGCUGGCAAAGCUAGACAUAUUGUGAAUCACGAGCGUGCUUGAUUCACGGUGGUGGGG